RNAcentral lists this ribosomal RNA (1677 nucleotides) under Salmonella enterica. RNAcentral describes it as "partial 23S ribosomal RNA". It matches the Rfam family "Bacterial large subunit ribosomal RNA", at positions 674 to 2332 of the family's 2925-position model. The record is from RNAcentral. Lineage: Bacteria; Pseudomonadati; Pseudomonadota; Gammaproteobacteria; Enterobacterales; Enterobacteriaceae.
AAACCGAGUCUUAACCGGGCGUUAAGUUGCAGGGUAUAGACCCGAAACCCGGUGAUCUAGCCAUGGGCAGGUUGAAGGUUGGGUAACACUAACUGGAGGACCGAACCGACUAAUGUUGAAAAAUUAGCGGAUGACCUGUGGCUGGGGGUGAAAGGCCAAUCAAACCGGGAGAUAGCUGGUUCUCCCCGAAAGCUAUUUAGGUAGCGCCUCGUGAAUUCAUCUCCGGGGGUAGAGCACUGUUUCGGCUAGGGGGCCAUCCCGGCUUACCAACCCGAUGCAAACUGCGAAUACCGGAGAAUGUUAUCACGGGAGACACACGGCGGGUGCUAACGUCCGUCGUGAAGAGGGAAACAACCCAGACCGCCAGCUAAGGUCCCAAAGUCAUGGUUAAGUGGGAAACGAUGUGGGAAGGCCCAGACAGCCAGGAUGUUGGCUUAGAAGCAGCCAUCAUUUAAAGAAAGCGUAAUAGCUCACUGGUCGAGUCGGCCUGCGCGGAAGAUGUAACGGGGCUAAACCAUGCACCGAAGCUGCGGCAGCGACACUGUGUGUUGUUGGGUAGGGGAGCGUUCUGUAAGCCUGUGAAGGUGUGUCGUGAGGCAUGCUGGAGGUAUCAGAAGUGCGAAUGCUGACAUAAGUAACGAUAAAGCGGGUGAAAAGCCCGCUCGCCGGAAGACCAAGGGUUCCUGUCCAACGUUAAUCGGGGCAGGGUGAGUCGACCCCUAAGGCGAGGCCGAAAGGCGUAGUCGAUGGGAAACGGGUUAAUAUUCCCGUACUUGGUGUUACUGCGAAGGGGGGACGGAGAAGGCUAUGUUGGCCGGGCGACGGUUGUCCCGGUUUAAGCGUGUAGGUGUGUGUUCCAGGUAAAUCCGGUUCACUUUAACACUGAGGCGUGACGACGAGGCACUACGGUGCUGAAGCAACAAAUGCCCUGCUUCCAGGAAAAGCCUCUAAGCAUCAGGUAACAUCAAAUCGUACCCCAAACCGACACAGGUGGUCAGGUAGAGAAUACCAAGGCGCUUGAGAGAACUCGGGUGAAGGAACUAGGCAAAAUGGUGCCGUAACUUCGGGAGAAGGCACGCUGACACGUAGGUGAAGUGAUUUACUCAUGGAGCUGAAGUCAGUCGAAGAUACCAGCUGGCUGCAACUGUUUAUUAAAAACACAGCACUGUGCAAACACGAAAGUGGACGUAUACGGUGUGACGCCUGCCCGGUGCCGGAAGGUUAAUUGAUGGGGUCAGCGCAAGCGAAGCUCCUGAUCGAAGCCCCGGUAAACGGCGGCCGUAACUAUAACGGUCCUAAGGUAGCGAAAUUCCUUGUCGGGUAAGUUCCGACCUGCACGAAUGGCGUAAUGAUGGCCAGGCUGUCUCCACCCGAGACUCAGUGAAAUUGAACUCGCUGUGAAGAUGCAGUGUACCCGCGGCAAGACGGAAAGACCCCGUGAACCUUUACUAUAGCUUGACACUGAACAUUGAGCCUUGAUGUGUAGGAUAGGUGGGAGGCUUUGAAGUGUGGACGCCAGUCUGCAUGGAGCCGACCUUGAAAUACCACCCUUUAAUGUUUGAUGUUCUAACGUGGACCCGUUACCCGGGUUGCGGACAGUGUCUGGUGGGUAGUUUGACUGGGGCGGUCUCCUCCUAAAGAGUAACGGAGGAGCACGAAGGUUGGCUAAUCCUGGUC